RNAcentral lists this ribosomal RNA (435 nucleotides) under uncultured eukaryote. RNAcentral's name for it is "SSU rRNA". It matches the Rfam family "Eukaryotic small subunit ribosomal RNA", at positions 111 to 549 of the family's 1831-position model. The record is from RNAcentral.
UAUCGUUUAUUUGAUAGUACCUUACUACUUGGAUAACCGUGGUAAUUCUAGAGCUAAUACAUGCUAAAAACCCCGACUUCGGAAGGGGUGUAUUUAUUAGAUAAAAAACCAAUGCCCUUCGGGGCUCCUUGGUGAUUCAUAAUAACUUAACGAAUCGCAUGGCCUUGUGCCGGCGAUGGUUCAUUCAAAUUUCUGCCCUAUCAACUUUCGAUUGUAAGGUAGUUGCUUACAAUGGUUUCAACGGGUAACGGGGAAUUAGGGUUCUAUUCCGGAGAGGGAGCCUGAGAAACGGCUACCACAUCCAAGGAAGGCAGCAGGCGCGCAAAUUACCCAAUCCCGACACGGGGAGGUAGUGACAAUAAAUACUGAUACAGGGCUCUUUUGGGUCUUGUAAUUGGAAUGAGUACAAUUUAAAUCCCUUAACGAGGAACAAUU